RNAcentral lists this ribosomal RNA (253 nucleotides) under uncultured bacterium. Its description in RNAcentral is "partial 16S ribosomal RNA". It matches the Rfam family "Bacterial small subunit ribosomal RNA", at positions 524 to 776 of the family's 1533-position model. The record is from RNAcentral.
UACGUAGGGUGCGAGCGUUAAUCGGAAUUACUGGGCGUAAAGCGUGCGCAGGCGGUGAUGUAAGACAGGUGUGAAAUCCCCGGGCUUAACCUGGGAACUGCAUUCGAGACUGCAUGGCUAGAGUAUGGGAGAGGGAAGUGGAAUUUCAGGUGUAGCGGUGAAAUGCGUAGAUAUCUGAAGGAACAUCAGUGGCGAAAGCGACUUCCUGGACCAAUACUGACGCUCAUGUGCGAAAGCGUGGGGAGCAAACAGG